Molecule: RNase P RNA, 322 nt
Filed under: Coturnix japonica (Japanese quail)
Lineage: Eukaryota; Metazoa; Chordata; Aves; Galliformes; Phasianidae
Description: Nuclear RNase P (ENSCJPG00005021354.1)
Rfam family: Nuclear RNase P
About the family: Ribonuclease P (RNase P) is a ubiquitous endoribonuclease, found in archaea, bacteria and eukarya as well as chloroplasts and mitochondria. Its best characterised activity is the generation of mature 5'-ends of tRNAs by cleaving the 5'-leader elements of precursor-tRNAs. Cellular RNase Ps are ribonucleoproteins.
Source: Rfam by way of RNAcentral
UCCGGAGGAAGCUCACCGUCGAGGCCACGCACUGGGUGCCCAUCACCCGCUGUCCCCGCCUCGGGGAAGGUCUGAGGGAAGGGCCCGCAGCGGCUCCAGCAGAGCCCCGCCCGCACGGGUGGGUGAGCCACCAGCAAGGGGGGGCGCCGCGCGGGCCGGCCUGGGCAGGAGAAGCCCGGAACGGUUCGGAGCUCAGUGCUGAGCCGGGGCGGAUGCUCGUGGCCCCGCGGAGCUUUGAGACAGACUCACGGCCGGCGCAUUGAGUCCAAUGGGUGAGGUGGGGCAAUGCCGCACAACCUAAUUCAGACUACUCUCCGCCGGA